AUGUACCUAUUGUUCAUUGCAUUCGAGGGAGAGGACAACAAGAUUAAGAGAGCCUUGGGACGCGAAGGCAGUAGCAUGCAGCGCCAGGUCAAGCGCACCGACCUCGAUGACAAGAGAUCAGUACACUUAACAAGAUACAUCAAUGUUACUUCCAAAGCAGAGUCCCUCCUAGAGGACAGUUUCUUUUAUCAGAAGGAGUCAAAUUUGUUCUUCUCACAAGCUGGAUCAUCGCAUAACUUAUUGGUGGUUGCACUAGCUGAACUUUGUUAUAAGUUCUGGGGCGCAUUGUAUAUCAUAGAUACAGUGUAUGUAAUUUUCUUGGUUUUUUCUUUCAAUCAAUUAACUUUUAAUGCUCACUAA
This 360-nucleotide ribosomal RNA is filed under the name Triticum aestivum (bread wheat). RNAcentral's name for it is "partial small subunit ribosomal RNA". Lineage: Eukaryota; Viridiplantae; Streptophyta; Magnoliopsida; Poales; Poaceae. The record is from RNAcentral.